AAACAACAGGGAUUGCUCAGUAACGGCGAGUGAAGCGGCAACAGCUCAAAUUUUGAAAUCUUGGCCGCAAGGUCCGAGUUGUAAUUUGUAGAGGAUGCUUUUGGCGAGGUGCCUUCCGAGUUCCCUGGAACGGGACGCCAUAGAGGGUGAGAGCCCCGUACGGUAGGACCACCAAGCCUCUGUAAAGCUCCUUCGACGAGUCGAGUAGUUUGGGAAUGCUGCUCUAAAUGGGAGGUGUACGUCUUCUAAAGCUAAAUACCGGCCAGAGACCGAUAGCGCACAAGUAGAGUGAUCGAAAGAUGAAAAGCACUUGAAAAGAGGGUUAAAAAGUACGUGAAAUUGUUGAAAGGGAAGCAUUCAUGACCAGACUUGGGCUUGGUUGAACAUCCGGCGUUCUCGCCGGUGCACUCUGCCAGUCCAGGCCAGCAUCAGUUUGCCCCGGGGGAUAAAGGCGGCGGGAAUGUGGCUCCCUUCGGGGAGUGUUAUAGCCCGUCGUGUAAUGCCCUGGGGCGGACUGAGGAACGCGCUUCGCACGGAUGCUGGCGUAAUGGUC
This 553-nucleotide ribosomal RNA is filed under the name Sarocladium kiliense. Its description in RNAcentral is "eukaryotic LSU rRNA". It matches the Rfam family "Eukaryotic large subunit ribosomal RNA", at positions 63 to 639 of the family's 3401-position model. Lineage: Eukaryota; Fungi; Ascomycota; Sordariomycetes; Hypocreales; Sarocladiaceae. The record is from RNAcentral.